This 253-nucleotide ribosomal RNA is filed under the name uncultured bacterium. Its description in RNAcentral is "partial 16S ribosomal RNA". It matches the Rfam family "Bacterial small subunit ribosomal RNA", at positions 524 to 776 of the family's 1533-position model. The record is from RNAcentral.
UACGUAGGGUGCAAGCGUUAAUCGGAAUUACUGGGCGUAAAGCGUGCGCAGGCGGCUUUGCAAGACAGAUGUGAAAUCCCCGGGCUCAACCUGGGAACUGCAUCCGAGACUGCAUUGCUAGAGUAUGGGAGAGGAAAGCGGAAUUUCUGGUGUAGCAGUGAAAUGCGUAGAUAUCAGAAGGAACAUCAGUGGCGAAAGCGGCUUCCUGGUCCAGCACCGACGUUCAGGCACGAAAGCGUGGGGAGCAAACAGG